CCUGAAGAGAUUUGGGAGUGCUCGAAAGAGAACCAUCACACAGGUGCUGCAUGGCUGUCGUCAGCUCGUGUCGUGAGAUGUUGGGUUAAGUCCCGCAACGAGCGCAACCCUUGUCAUUAGUUGCUACGAAAGGGCACUCUAAUGAGACUGCCGGUGACAAACCGGAGGAAGGUGGGGAUGACGUCAAGUCCUCAUGGCCCUUAUGGGUAGGGCUUCACACGUCAUACAAUGGUACAUACAGAGGGCCGCCAACCCGCGAGGGGGAGCUAAUCCCAGAAAGUGUAUCGUAGUCCGGAUUGGAGUCUGCAACUCGACUCCAUGAAGUGGAAUCGCUAGUAAU
Molecule: ribosomal RNA, 340 nt
Filed under: Herbaspirillum sp. 185R
Lineage: Bacteria; Pseudomonadati; Pseudomonadota; Betaproteobacteria; Burkholderiales; Oxalobacteraceae
Description: bacterial SSU rRNA
Rfam family: Bacterial small subunit ribosomal RNA
Source: RNAcentral